GAUGAACGCUGGCGGCGUGCCUAAUACAUGCAAGUCGAGCGAACGGACGAGAAGCUUGCUUCUCUGAUGUUAGCGGCGGACGGGUGAGUAACACGUGGAUAACCUACCUAUAAGACUGGGAUAACUUCGGGAAACCGGAGCUAAUGCCGGAUAAUAUUUUGAACCGCAUGGUUCAAAAGUGAAAGACGGUCUUGCUGUCACUUAUAGAUGGAUCCGCGCUGCAUUAGCUAGUUGGUAAGGUAACGGCUUACCAAGGCAACGAUGCAUAGCCGACCUGAGAGGGUGAUCGGCCACACUGGAACUGAGACACGGUCCAGACUCCUACGGGAGGCAGCAGUAGGGAAUCUUCCGCAAUGGGCGAAAGCCUGACGGAGCAACGCCGCGUGAGUGAUGAAGGUCUUCGGAUCGUAAAACUCUGUUAUUAGGGAAGAACAUAUGUGUAAGUAACUGUGCACAUCUUGACGGUACCUAAUCAGAAAGCCACGGCUAACUACGUGCCAGCAGCCGCGGUAAUACGUAGGUGGCAAGCGUUAUCCGGAAUUAUUGGGCGUAAAGCGCGCGUAGGCGGUUUUUUAAGUCUGAUGUGAAAGCCCACGGCUCAACCGUGGAGGGUCAUUGGAAACUGGAAAACUUGAGUGCAGAAGAGGAAAGUGGAAUUCCAUGUGUAGCGGUGAAAUGCGCAGAGAUAUGGAGGAACACCAGUGGCGAAGGCGACUUUCUGGUCUGUAACUGACGCUGAUGUGCGAAAGCGUGGGGAUCAAACAGGAUUAGAUACCCUGGUAGUCCACGCCGUAAACGAUGAGUGCUAAGUGUUAGGGGGUUUCCGCCCCUUAGUGCUGCAGCUAACGCAUUAAGCACUCCGCCUGGGGAGUACGACCGCAAGGUUGAAACUCAAAGGAAUUGACGGGGACCCGCACAAGCGGUGGAGCAUGUGGUUUAAUUCGAAGCAACGCGAAGAACCUUACCAAAUCUUGACAUCCUUUGACAACUCUAGAGAUAGAGCCUUCCCCUUCGGGGGACAAAGUGACAGGUGGUGCAUGGUUGUCGUCAGCUCGUGUCGUGAGAUGUUGGGUUAAGUCCCGCAACGAGCGCAACCCUUAAGCUUAGUUGCCAUCAUUAAGUUGGGCACUCUAAGUUGACUGCCGGUGACAAACCGGAGGAAGGUGGGGAUGACGUCAAAUCAUCAUGCCCCUUAUGAUUUGGGCUACACACGUGCUACAAUGGACAAUACAAAGGGCAGCGAAACCGCGAGGUCAAGCAAAUCCCAUAAAGUUGUUCUCAGUUCGGAUUGUAGUCUGCAACUCGACUACAUGAAGCUGGAAUCGCUAGUAAUCGUAGAUCAGCAUGCUACGGUGAAUACGUUCCCGGGUCU
RNAcentral lists this ribosomal RNA (1372 nucleotides) under uncultured bacterium. RNAcentral's name for it is "bacterial SSU rRNA". It matches the Rfam family "Bacterial small subunit ribosomal RNA", at positions 28 to 1381 of the family's 1533-position model. The record is from RNAcentral.